CAGACCCUUAGAACACUAUCAUCUGAGAAGUUCUACAUUAGAAGGAAAAAGAAAGGAAAAAAGGAAGUUGGGAGGAUUGGUGUUGACAGCAGAUCAACUGGGAGAGUCUAAAUGACAGAAUUUAGGAAUCCUUACUCUCUGAAGAGAGAUGCUAACAAGGAGCCAGGAAAAGCAUUGUAUGUGAAGGAGUCCAACCAGGACAGAAAAUGCAGAAGAGAUGGCUUUGUAAUACUGGAAGCCCACUCUCACAGACCGUGUUACCACACAGAAUCCCAUGUGAAGAGUCUUCUACCAAUAUAUCAAUACCUGAUGAGCCAUGGUCUUUCUCCACUGUCUCUGGUACCAUAAAAACGGAAACCCAAGUUCAUCAGGAU
Molecule: long non-coding RNA, 374 nt
Filed under: Mus spicilegus (steppe mouse)
Lineage: Eukaryota; Metazoa; Chordata; Mammalia; Rodentia; Muridae
Description: lncRNA (ENSMSIG00000024589.1)
Source: RNAcentral